Trichechus manatus latirostris (Florida manatee) is the source of this 108-nucleotide small nuclear RNA. Lineage: Eukaryota; Metazoa; Chordata; Mammalia; Sirenia; Trichechidae. The record is from RefSeq and is a predicted model, not a curated record.
GUGCUUGUUUCAGCAGCACAUACGCUAAAAUUGGAAUGAUACAGAGAAGAUUAGCAUGUCCCCCAUGCAAAGAUGACCUAAAAAGCAUAAGUACAGGGAGACGCAUCC